GUCAAAUGGGUUUUUAGUCUGAAGGAAAGUACUAACCCUGUGGGGAGAGAUUCCAAAGUUUUUACCAUUCACAUAGAUUUGUGGGUAGGCUCUUUCGUGGUACACACAACUGCUUGGUUCUAGUUUGAGUUUUUUCACACUACAAAAGGCACUUGACUGGGUUUGAUAAACAUAUGGUGGAUAGACCAAGACUUGUGAGGCCAUACCUUCAUAGAUCGGGCCGCGCUGGCGUCCGAGCCGGAGCUGCCGCCGCCGCGCUGGGCAUGUCCGGGAGCGCCGCGGGGAAGCGCCGCGCGGGCCGCGCUUAGCCGCUCAGCCCCGCCGCUCCGGCCGCUGCCAUCUUGUCCUGGCGGCUGGGAGGGAAGAGCCCCGGCUCAGCCCGCUCGGCAGCCCGGGCCUCCGCCUCAUCUUCCCGGGGAGGGACCCAGCCCGCCCCCGGCCGCCGCCUCCUCCGCCUCCGC
Molecule: long non-coding RNA, 461 nt
Filed under: Gallus gallus (chicken)
Lineage: Eukaryota; Metazoa; Chordata; Aves; Galliformes; Phasianidae
Source: RNAcentral